AAGAGUAGCUUUCUUCGGCGAUAACACGCCAAGUGGCAUGCAUGUUUACGUCCGCUGUAUACAGCGUAGACAUACACGCGGACAGCUCAAAAUGCAUACAGAUAACACGCCACUUGGCAUAACAAAAUCAGUGUGUACGUUUAC
Molecule: long non-coding RNA, 144 nt
Organism: Etheostoma spectabile (orangethroat darter)
Lineage: Eukaryota; Metazoa; Chordata; Actinopteri; Perciformes; Percidae
Exons: 3
Source: RefSeq, a predicted model, not a curated record